GAUGAACGCUAGCGGCAGGCCUAACACAUGCAAGUCGAGGGGCAGCACAUAAAGUGGUUUACUACUUUUGGUGGCGACCGGCGGACGGGUGCGUAACGCGUAUGCAACCUGCCUCCAACAGGGGGAUAACGGAGAGAAAUUUCCACUAAUACCCCAUAAUAUCAGAAUCGGCAUCGGUUUUGGUUGAAAACUCCGGUGGUUGGAGAUGGGCAUGCGUUGUAUUAGAUAGUUGGUGAGGUAACGGCUCACCAAGUCAACGAUACAUAGGGGGACUGAGAGGUUAGCCCCCCACACUGGUACUGAGACACGGACCAGACUCCUACGGGAGGCAGCAGUGAGGAAUAUUGGUCAAUGGGGGCAACCCUGAACCAGCCAUGCCGCGUGCAGGAAGACGGCUCUAUGAGUUGUAAACUGCUUUUACAAGGGGAUAAAUCGGUGUACGUGUACACCGUUGAAGGUACCUUGGGAAUAAGGAUCGGCUAACUCCGUGCCAGCCGCCGCCGUAA
RNAcentral lists this ribosomal RNA (506 nucleotides) under uncultured bacterium. RNAcentral describes it as "partial 16S ribosomal RNA". It matches the Rfam family "Bacterial small subunit ribosomal RNA", at positions 28 to 523 of the family's 1533-position model. The record is from RNAcentral.